Molecule: ribosomal RNA, 561 nt
Filed under: uncultured eukaryote
Lineage: Eukaryota
Description: bacterial SSU rRNA
Rfam family: Eukaryotic small subunit ribosomal RNA
Source: RNAcentral
AAACUUACCGGUUCAAAACAUGAGUGGGAUUGACAGAUUGAGAGCUCUUUCUUGAUUGGAUGGGUGGUGGUGCAUGGCCGUUCUUAGUUGGUGGAGUGAUUUGUCUGGUUAAUUCCGUUAACGAACGAGACCUUAACCUGUUAACUAGUACUCGUGUCCAAAACAGGAGUUACUUCUUAGAGGGACUAAUGGAUUGAAGCCAUUGGAAGUUUGAGGCAAUAACAGGUCUGUGAUGCCCCUAGAUGUACCGGGCCGCACGCGUUCUACAAUGACUUGUGCAACAAGUCCUAUCCUGGCUCGAGAGAGUACGGGUAAUCUUUAUAAUGCAAGUCGUAUUAGGGAUCGAUCUUUGGAAUUAUAGAUCUUGAACAAGGAAUACCUAGUAAGUGUUCGUCAUCAGCGAGCACUGAUUACGUCCCUGUCGUUUGUACACACCGCCCGUCGCUCCUACCGAUUCCGAGUGGUGAGGUGAAAUUUGUGGACCUAGUGGCUCUUGAGGCUGUUGGGGAAGCAACUUAAACCUUAUCACUUAGAGGAAGGAUAAGUCGUAACAAGGUAACC